AAGUCUGAGUUAGAAUAGUUUGUAAGAGUGUGAUUAUAAAAACUGUGGCUGAGGCUGUGAAAGUAGAUUAGUGUGUAGAAGAGUUUACCCGUUCGGUGCGAUGACGUUUAAAGGUGAAGUAAGCCAUUUUUGAGAAACCGAGUUGCACGACACACUUGUAGCCAAUCAGAAGUAGGGGGCAUGUCAACUCAUGAUGAGGAGGAUAGAGUGAGCCAAUCAGCAUCAGGGGGCGUGUCCACUCAUGAUAAGGAGAGAGUGAGCCAAUCAGAAGUAGGGGGCGUGUCCACUCAUGAUGAGGAGGAGAGAGUGAAUCAGCAGUAGGGGGCGUGUCCACUCAUGAUGAGGAGAGAGUGAAUCAGCAGUAGGGGGCGUAUCCACUCAUGAUGAGGAAAGAGUGAGCCAAUCAGAAGUAGGGGGCGUGUCCACUCAUGAUGAGGAGAGAGUGAGCCAAUCAGAAGUAGGGGGCGUAUCCACUCAUGUUGAGGAGGAGAGAGUGAAUCAGCAGUAGGGGGCAUGUCCACUCAUGAUGAGGAGAGAAGAGUGAGCCAAUCAGAAGUAGGGGGCGUGUCCACUCAUGAUGAGGAUAGAAGAGUGAGCCAAUCAGAAGUAGGGGGCGUGUCCACUCAUGAUGAGGAGAGAGUGAGCCAAUCAGAAGUAGGGGGCGUGUCCAGUCAUGAGGAGGAGAGAGUGAAUCAGCAGUAGGGGGCGUGUCCACUCAUGAUGAAGAGAGAGUGAGCCAAUCAGAAGUAGGGGGCGUGUCCACUGAUGAUGAGGAUAGAGUGAGCCAAUCAGAAGUAGGGGGCGUGUCCACUCAUGAUGAGGAGAGAGUGAGCCAAUCAGAAGUAGGGGGCGUGUCAAGUCAUGAUGAGGAGAGAGUGAAUCAGCAGUAGGGGGCGUGUCCACUUAUGAUGAGGAGAGAGU
Molecule: long non-coding RNA, 921 nt
Organism: Rhinichthys klamathensis goyatoka
Lineage: Eukaryota; Metazoa; Chordata; Actinopteri; Cypriniformes; Leuciscidae
Exons: 3
Source: RefSeq, a predicted model, not a curated record